Molecule: transfer RNA, 84 nt
Filed under: Bacteroidota bacterium
Lineage: Bacteria; Pseudomonadati; Bacteroidota
Also listed under: 3 other names
Description: tRNA-Leu
Rfam family: tRNA
About the family: Transfer RNA (tRNA) molecules are approximately 80 nucleotides in length. Their secondary structure includes four short double-helical elements and three loops (D, anti-codon, and T loops).
Source: RNAcentral
GCCCGGAUGGCGGAAUUGGUAGACGCGCUGGUCUCAAACACCAGUAGGUUCACCCCUGUGCCGGUUCGACCCCGGCUCCGGGUA